This is a long non-coding RNA of Neltuma alba, 577 nucleotides long. RefSeq lists it as uncharacterized. Lineage: Eukaryota; Viridiplantae; Streptophyta; Magnoliopsida; Fabales; Fabaceae. The record is from RefSeq and is a predicted model, not a curated record. The transcript has 2 exons.
AAGAAGCAAACAAACAUUAUAAAUCCCAAAAUAUUUGGUGUUGCUAUAUUCUGUUGUUAAGGCAGAAUGGGUGAUUCUCAACAAGGUUCAAAAAAGGAAGAUCUCGCAGACCUUGCGGGGUAUGGUGAAGUCUAUGAGAGGUCUCCUGAAGCUUCUUCAAGCUCAAAAGAGAGCAAGAAAUCAACUCUUGAAGAGAACGCUGGUCAUGGUGAAACUCAUGAAACCACUGAAACUUCAAACUCAAACGAAAGCAAGAAAACAACUCUCGAAGGGCAUGCUGGCCAUGGCCGAAAGUAAAUAAUUACAACUCAUUCAUAUAUAUGCCAGGUUAACGAAGCUGAUGGAAGAAUGUUGGAAGGAAUAUCAAGUUAUUUGAAGUCUUUUAUUUUAUUUACUUCUUUUAAAUUUCUGGUUUAAAUAUAUGUAAGUUAUUGUCUCCAGGCUUAUUAAGUAGUUCGGUUGGACGAAAAAAAAUAUUAAGUAGUUUGAAACUGUCACCCGUUCUUGUUUAAUGUUUAUGCUUGUGUACUCGCAUCAUUUCUAUGCAUAAAUAAAAUAAAUUAUUUGACUAAGAUAA